CGACGUGAGUAACCUGCCUUGGAGUGGGAAUAACAGCUGGAAACAGCUGCUAAUACCGCAUAAUGCAGUUGGGUCGCAUGGCUCUGACUGCCAAAGAUUUAUCGCUCUGAGAUGGACUCGCGUCUGAUUAGCUAGUUGGCGGGGUAACGGCCCACCAAGGCGACGAUCAGUAGCCGGACUGAGAGGUUGGCCGGCCACAUUGGGACUGAGACACGGCCCAGACUCCUACGGGAGGCAGCAG
RNAcentral lists this ribosomal RNA (241 nucleotides) under uncultured bacterium. RNAcentral describes it as "partial 16S ribosomal RNA". It matches the Rfam family "Bacterial small subunit ribosomal RNA", at positions 113 to 354 of the family's 1533-position model. The record is from RNAcentral.